This 363-nucleotide long non-coding RNA is filed under the name Mustela putorius furo (domestic ferret). RNAcentral's name for it is "lncRNA (ENSMPUG00000026578.1)". The record is from RNAcentral. Lineage: Eukaryota; Metazoa; Chordata; Mammalia; Carnivora; Mustelidae.
CUUCCCUUCAGUUUAGUGCAAUGACUAAGUGUUUCUAGAUCUGUUCUGCUUCUUGAGGAUAUGGGAUUCUGUCUUAAAACUUCCAAGAAGGAGCAGUGCAGAAUCAGCAGAAACAUCUGUCAGGCACGUCUUCACAUGCCCCUGAAGGAGUACCUCCCCUGUUCACAAGCACACAUGAGCGGUCGGGGUCAGCCAGAAGUCGACAGAAGCGCCUUCCGUGCCCAUUGUGCGAACGUCAGGACGGAGUCUGAAUGAGAAGGACUUGUCUCCGAGGCUGAAAGGCCGGCUGGAAGGAAACAGAGUUUUCCCAUACCAGUUUAUAUGGAUUAUUAAAAACACUCUAGAAAAAAAAAUCUGAGAAAG